UACGUAGGGGGCAAGCGUUGUCCGGAUUUAUUGGGCGUAAAGAGCGUGUAGGCGGCCAGCCAGGUCCGUUGUGAAAACUGGAGGCUUAACCUUCAGACGUCGAUGGAAACCGUCUGGCUAGAGUCCGGAAGAGGAGAGUGGAAUUCCUGGUGUAGCGGUGAAAUGCGCAGAUAUCAGGAAGAACACCCGUGGCUAAGGCGGCUCUCUAGUACGGUACUGACGCUGAGACGCGAAAGCGUGGGGAGCGAACAGG
Molecule: ribosomal RNA, 253 nt
Filed under: uncultured bacterium
Lineage: Bacteria
Description: partial 16S ribosomal RNA
Rfam family: Bacterial small subunit ribosomal RNA
Source: RNAcentral